AUUUAAUUAUUAUAACUAAGUAUAUUAAGCUUCCAACUUAAAGGUUUAUAAAAAUAAAUUAAAUA
RNAcentral lists this transfer RNA (65 nucleotides) under Sophonia linealis. Its description in RNAcentral is "tRNA-Gly". The record is from RNAcentral. Lineage: Eukaryota; Metazoa; Arthropoda; Insecta; Hemiptera; Cicadellidae.